UGCUAGCGUAGUUACUCGUGCGCAGAAACGCAGAAUUGGAGAUGACAUUGUUCUGUCUGACACUUUUAUGUCACCCGUGUUCACUGAAGAAAGUUCAGGGUCAGAUCAGAAGGGCACGGAUGAUGUUCAGCAUGAUAAAUAUUCCGCUGAGUCUGAAUUGUUAGCUGAACCAUUUUCUCAUGAACGGAUUAAGAUCGCACAACGAGAAGACGUGUCACUGACUAAAUGUUUUUCUGCUGCUGAAAGUACAGACUCAGAUAAAACCAGUUUUGUAAAAUAUGUGAUUGAAAAUGGGCUACUGUUAAGGAAAUGGCGUCCUAAUUCAGAUGUGGAGAAUGAGUGGGAGGUUGUGUGCCAGAUCGUUUUGCCUACUGCCUACCGCAAACAAGUGUUGAGUUUGGCACAUGAUCACGAGUUAGCAGGUCAUUUAGGUGUGACAAAAACCUAUAACCGCAUUCUCCAACAUUUCUUUUGGCCUGGCUUGAAGAGAGAUGUAUCUCAGCAUUGCCGUACUUGUCAUGAAUGUCAGGUGAUGGGUACCUGAGAAAUUUUUGGAGGAACAAGAAAAGCCAGUCGCUGUUCCUACUGAGGUUUUAGCCGUUGCUGCUAUUGCUGUGCCUGACUCCACUGCAGUGAAUGAUGAGGUUCUGCUGCCAUCUCCUGGUGUGACUUCUGAUUGGACGAUCCGUCUGUCAAUCUGCUGGCGUAAGGGUCUGACGUCAGGGAUCGCGCUACCAAUCGCUGGUUACGGAG
This is a long non-coding RNA of Megalobrama amblycephala (Wuchang bream), 753 nucleotides long. RefSeq lists it as uncharacterized. The transcript is spliced from 3 exons. Lineage: Eukaryota; Metazoa; Chordata; Actinopteri; Cypriniformes; Xenocyprididae. The record is from RefSeq and is a predicted model, not a curated record.